AGCUUUGCGCAGUGGCGAUAUCGUAACCAAUGAGGUACAACCGAGGUGCGAUUAUUGCUAGUUGAAAACUUAAACGACGUUGUUUCAUACGUUUAAGUUAAAUGUUUGUGGUAUCAAUUGGUAGUUAAGUUACAUAAAU
Small nuclear RNA from Malaya genurostris, 139 nucleotides. RefSeq annotates it as U4 spliceosomal RNA. The record is from RefSeq and is a predicted model, not a curated record. The transcript has a single exon. Lineage: Eukaryota; Metazoa; Arthropoda; Insecta; Diptera; Culicidae.